RNAcentral lists this long non-coding RNA (1150 nucleotides) under Homo sapiens (human). RNAcentral describes it as "synapse stability regulating cerebellar lncRNA". The record is from RNAcentral. Lineage: Eukaryota; Metazoa; Chordata; Mammalia; Primates; Hominidae.
AGUGUGAAGAAAUGACCCUGAAAAGCCUCUGGCAGAGGAUUCUUCUUUCAGGAUGGUGUCGCCUCCUCAGCAGCCCAUCCUCCUCCCCUGGACUCAAGCUCUCAUUCCAGUAACACUCCUUCCUCCUUCUCCAUCUUCAGGGGGAGGUUUGCCAGUCGGUGAGAACCCUUUGUUAAGCUGUGUAACCUCUGUGCAUAGUUUCCUCAUCAGCAAAGUCAGAAAAAGUAUGUACCUGAAGGACUGAUUGUAAGGCUGGGAUGAGAGAAUCCAUGUGAUCAGCCCUCACCAACAGGUGCUGCCCAGUUCAUGAGUGCUGCUGCUGUCCUGCCCAAGUACCCAGCUUGCAGAGUGCCAGAGUUAGAGUCCCAGGGGUGUUCUCCACAGCUGCAUGCUUGAUCCAGGCCUAUCAGAUAUAUUCCAUUGAAAGUCCUCAUUCUCAAAUUUAAAACAAAGACUUUUUGUGUACCUCAAUAGCAAUGCACACACAGUUGGCUUCACAAACAUAUUGUACAUUUCUUUUUUUCAUAUUUAUUCAACAAAUGUAUAUUGACUACCCACCGUGUGACAGGUGUUAUUUGUUGACGGAACCAGGCAUCAUCAGCAAACAAAACUGACAAAGCUUCCUGCCCUCUGUGGAAGGCAUCUGAGGAAGAGACUGGAUUUUGUAGCAACAUGUUAUUCUCAUUAUAAACUUUAUCAUUGGAAUACUAAAGCCAAAUCAUCCCCCAUCUCCUUGAUCAGGAUACCCACUUAAUCUAGGCAGCUACACAAUUGUGAGAGCCUUUGUUUUUUUCUGCUGAAACAUCCUUAAAAAGAUACCUCACAACCCAAGAUUUGGCUUUUCUUAAAUACGAUUUUUAAUUUUUUUCAUUUCUAUCUAGAGAUUUAAUUGGAAAUGGAAAAUCAUCAAUUUUCCAAUUAAAUGUCUGUUCCAAUCAACAUUAUACCUUUUAGGUUGUCAUUGUCAUUUUUAAGUUUAAGCAACUUUAAGGAUUUUGAAUCUGGCUGCCUGUAAAUUAAAGGUGAAAGUAAUCAUUGUGUUGGAUUGGAACAUUUUGUCAAUUGAGAGUGGUUUCCUUGUUCUUAGUGUAUGAAAAGUUUAUUUUUCUAAUGUAGAUUAAUAAAGGAGAUAAAGAAAAACAAAAUGAGU